This 429-nucleotide ribosomal RNA is filed under the name Chloroflexota bacterium. RNAcentral's name for it is "Chloroflexi bacterium partial 16S ribosomal RNA". It matches the Rfam family "Bacterial small subunit ribosomal RNA", at positions 355 to 776 of the family's 1533-position model. Lineage: Bacteria; Bacillati; Chloroflexota. The record is from RNAcentral. RNAcentral also lists the same sequence under 1 other name.
UAGGGAAUCUUCGGCAAUGGACGAAAGUCUGACCGAGCAACGCCGCGUGAGUGAAGAAGGCUUUCGGAUCGUAAAACUCUGUUGUUAGAGAAGAACAAGGACGUUAGUAACUGAACGUCCCCUGACGGUAUCUAACCAGAAAGCCACGGCUAACUACGUGCCAGCAGCCGCGGUAAUACGUAGGUGGCAAGCGUUGUCCGGAUUUAUUGGGCGUAAAGCGAGCGCAGGCGGUUUCUUAAGUCUGAUGUGAAAGCCCCCGGCUCAACCGGGGAGGGUCAUUGGAAACUGGGAGACUUGAGUGCAGAAGAGGAGAGUGGAAUUCCAUGUGUAGCGGUGAAAUGCGUAGAUAUAUGGAGGAACACCAGUGGCGAAGGCGGCUCUCUGGUCUGUAACUGACGCUGAGGCUCGAAAGCGUGGGGAGCAAACAGG